RNAcentral lists this long non-coding RNA (807 nucleotides) under Mustela putorius furo (domestic ferret). RNAcentral's name for it is "lncRNA (ENSMPUG00000030667.1)". The record is from RNAcentral. Lineage: Eukaryota; Metazoa; Chordata; Mammalia; Carnivora; Mustelidae.
UGAGGCCAGGUCAGCCAGGAGCAUUAACAGAUCCUUGCAGAGAGAACAAAUUAAGUGACAGUAGUUGUAGAUUGCCUAUAACAGGGCCAGCAGCACCCAGUCAGCCACAAGAUACUACUCUAGGACCAGCAUGAGCCAGGGAACCUCUUCCCUACACACCUGGAUGCCUCCAGAGAAAACAAGCCACGGGAGAAGGCCAUCCAAGAAACCAAGAAAUUCCUGCCUAUAGAAGGGUUCUGCUGUUAUGUCCAGCUGUCAUUGAAGAGCAUUGCUAGGUGGCAUCCCAAGGUUAAAAGCAGCUGUAGCAAAAUGAAAACAUGGCAUUCUGCUACUAUCCAAUAUCAAAUUAUAUAUAAUUUCCCAGAAGCAUAAAACCUAAAGGAAUUCUGAGCCACAAAUAUUGAUUUCUUUUUAUUUGCUAAAAAAAAAGUCAAGUUUAAUAAGAUAAAAAAGUUCACAAAUGUCUUUCUUUGUAUCUUUUCUGUUUUUAAUAAUGUAAGAAAUUAAAGAUUUUGUUAAGUGUAAAGACAGUCAACAAUCCUUGAGACACAAAUUAUUUUCUCUCUUAAGAUUUUAUUAAUUUAUUUGUGAGAGAGCGAGAGAAAGAGAGAGAGAGCACACAAGCAGGGAAGCAGAGGGCUGAGGGAGAAGCAGGCUCCCUACUGAGCAAGGAGACCGAGCAGGACUCAAUCCCAGGACUCUGGAAUCAGGAACUGAGUUGAAGGCAUACGCUUAACUAAUUGAGCCACUCAGGUGUCCCAGACACAAACUAUUUUCUAAACAAUCCAUCUUGGAAAACAUGUUGCC